Molecule: ribosomal RNA, 440 nt
Filed under: uncultured bacterium
Lineage: Bacteria
Description: partial 16S ribosomal RNA
Rfam family: Bacterial small subunit ribosomal RNA
Source: RNAcentral
CCUACGGGUGGCAGCAGUGGGGAAUAUUGCACAAUGGGGGAAACCCUGAUGCAGCAACGCCGCGUGGGUGAAGGAGCGUUUCGGCGCGUAAAGCCCUGUCAGCGGGGAAGAAGAAAGACGGUACCCGACCAAGAAGCCCCGGCUAACUACGUGCCAGCAGCCGCGGUAAUACGGAGGAUGCGAGCGUUAUCCGGAUAUAUGGGGUUUAAAGGGUUCGUAGGCGGGAUGCCAAGUCAGCGGUAAAAUCGCGGGGCUCAACCUCGUGCCGCCGUUGAAACUGGCGUUCUUGAGUGGGCGAGAAGUAUGCGGAAUGCGUGGUGUAGCGGUGAAAUGCAUAGAUAUCACGCAGAACUCCGAUUGCGAAGGCAGCAUACCGGCGCCCAACUGACGCUGAAGCACGAAAGCGUGGGUAUCGAACAGGAUUAGAUACCCCAGUAGUC